UACGUAGGUCCCGAGCGUUGUCCGGAUUUAUUGGGCGUAAAGCGAGCGCAGGUGGUUUAAUAAGUCUGAUGUAAAAGGCAGUGGCUCAACCAUUGUGUGCAUUGGAAACUGUUAGACUUGAGUGCAGUAGAGGAGAGUGGAAUUCCAUGUGUAGCGGUGAAAUGCGUAGAUAUAUGGAGGAACACCGGUGGCGAAAGCGGCUCUCUGGACUGUAACUGACACUGAGGCUCGAAAGCGUGGGUAGCAAACAGG
RNAcentral lists this ribosomal RNA (252 nucleotides) under uncultured bacterium. Its description in RNAcentral is "partial 16S ribosomal RNA". It matches the Rfam family "Bacterial small subunit ribosomal RNA", at positions 524 to 776 of the family's 1533-position model. RNAcentral also lists the same sequence under 2 other names. The record is from RNAcentral.